UCUACUUGAUGAUGUUAUGACUGCCUAAAGGAUUCUCAAUACCAGCUGUUCCUCUCCCAUAUGCUUAAUGCUAGCACUGAUUAGACUCAACUCAGAGUCCUUGUUUCUGUUCAGUGAUGAGCAGAUCUGGGGGCUAAGUUUUAGACCUGAUAUGGGAACAGUACUGCAGUGCAAGACAACAAAGAGGCAGCAGCACAGAGGUUCCUCACUAUCCAGUGAAAUCACCAAGAGCUGAGCUGAGUGGGGAAGCCCAAAAUGCAGCAUUACAGAAGUGGGAGCGAGCGGCAAGCUAAGCAGCAGUGAAAACAGUGGCAGAGAUGAAUGGCAGCAAAGAUAACAGUGACAGCAGCAGUGCAGACAUUAACCAAUGCCCCCUCCCCACUUCCAGGGCUGGCAGGUGGACCCAUAUGAAUGCACCUCUCAACUCUGAGUCUUCACUGAAUAUUGAACCCGGCCCUUUCUGCUGCCGAUUCCACCUGUCAGAAGGGUUACACCGGAUAUAACUACGGAAGACCAUAUUUCCCAGAAGGAAAACAGGACACCCCAACCACUUGCCCAAGUUGCCCCUGGCCCCUGCCCAAGGCUGUUGCUCACUCACUGGAAUCCUGCCGGCUCCUCUGCACGAGGCUGUUGCCGUCCCCCCGCAUACUGGAAUGCUGCCUUCCCCCCAACCCUACCUCCCUCCUCCCCCACAUGCGGGGCUAGCAUAUCCGCUCAUACCCCUUCCUCCCCUCCCUGCACGUUCCUCUG
Long non-coding RNA from Mauremys reevesii (Reeves's turtle), 750 nucleotides. RefSeq lists it as uncharacterized. The record is from RefSeq and is a predicted model, not a curated record. The transcript has 3 exons. NCBI's taxonomy places the organism in Eukaryota, Metazoa, Chordata, Testudines, Geoemydidae.